UUAUUGAAAACAAACUUUGAC
RNAcentral lists this non-coding RNA (21 nucleotides) under Caenorhabditis elegans. Lineage: Eukaryota; Metazoa; Nematoda; Chromadorea; Rhabditida; Rhabditidae. The record is from RNAcentral.